CCCUUAGAUGUCCUGGGCCGCACGCGCGCUACACUGAUGCAUUCAACGAGUUUUACCUUGGCCGAGAGGCCUGGGCAAUCUUUUAAACCUGCAUCGUGAUAGGGAUAGAUUAUUGCAAUUAUUAAUCUUGAACGAGGAAUUCCUAAUAAACGCAGAUCAUCAAUCUGCAUUGAUUACGUCCCUGCCCUUUGUACACACCGCCCGUCGCACCUACCGAUUGAAUGGUCCGGUGAAGCCUCGGGAUUGUGGCCAGUUCACUUUAUUGGGAGUUGGCUGCGAGAACUUGUCUAAACCUUAUCAUUUAGAGGAAGGUGAAGUCGUAACA
Molecule: ribosomal RNA, 325 nt
Filed under: uncultured eukaryote
Lineage: Eukaryota
Description: partial 18S ribosomal RNA
Rfam family: Eukaryotic small subunit ribosomal RNA
Source: RNAcentral